AGCUUUUGGUUCAGUGAUGACUGGAUGUUUCUUCAUGUCAAUAUACUUGAGAUGUGCCUCCCUCAAACUUUGUUACUAUUUUGACACAUUACCCCUGUCUGACA
Small nucleolar RNA from Cavia porcellus (domestic guinea pig), 104 nucleotides. It matches the Rfam family "Small nucleolar RNA U13". The record is from Rfam. NCBI's taxonomy places the organism in Eukaryota, Metazoa, Chordata, Mammalia, Rodentia, Caviidae.